RNAcentral lists this ribosomal RNA (253 nucleotides) under uncultured bacterium. RNAcentral describes it as "partial 16S ribosomal RNA". It matches the Rfam family "Bacterial small subunit ribosomal RNA", at positions 524 to 776 of the family's 1533-position model. The record is from RNAcentral.
UACGUAGGGAGCGAGCGUUGUCCGGAAUUAUUGGGCGUAAAGCGCGUGUAGGCGGUCCAGUUAGUCGGAUGUGAAAGCCCCAAGCUCAACUUGGGAACUGCAUCCGAUACUGCUGGACUUGAGGUAGGCAGGGGAGAGUGGAAUUCCUGGUGUAGCGGUGGAAUGCGCAGAUAUCAGGAGGAACACCUAUGGCGAAGGCAGCUCUCUGGGCCUCACCUGACGCUGAGACGCGAAAGCGUGGGUAGCAAACAGG